Molecule: transfer RNA, 122 nt
Filed under: Orchesella cincta
Lineage: Eukaryota; Metazoa; Arthropoda; Collembola; Entomobryomorpha; Orchesellidae
Rfam family: tRNA
About the family: Transfer RNA (tRNA) molecules are approximately 80 nucleotides in length. Their secondary structure includes four short double-helical elements and three loops (D, anti-codon, and T loops).
Source: Rfam by way of RNAcentral
GACAGAGUGGCGGAGCGUCUAACGCGUUAGACUCAAGCGAAAGCUUGCCACUGUUUCCCAGUGGUGAACAUGAGUAUUCUAAUCCUCGAAUGAGGGCGUGGGUUCAAAUCCCACCUCUGUCA